Molecule: ribosomal RNA, 228 nt
Filed under: uncultured bacterium
Lineage: Bacteria
Description: partial 16S ribosomal RNA
Rfam family: Bacterial small subunit ribosomal RNA
Source: RNAcentral
UAACGCGUAUGUAACUUGCCCGUAUCUGCGGGAUAGCUCUUCGAAAGAGGAAUUAAUACCGCAUAGUAUCUUUGAAAUACCUGUUUUAGAGAUUAAAGAUUUAUCGGAUACGGAUAGGCAUGCGUGACAUUAGGUAGUUGGUGAGGUAACGGCUCACCAAGCCGACGAUGUCUAGGGGUUCUGAGAGGAAGGUCCCCCACACCGGUACUGAGAUACGGACCGGACUCC